This 66-nucleotide transfer RNA is filed under the name Pomacea bridgesi. RNAcentral's name for it is "tRNA-Ser". Lineage: Eukaryota; Metazoa; Mollusca; Gastropoda; Architaenioglossa; Ampullariidae. The record is from RNAcentral. RNAcentral also lists the same sequence under 1 other name.
AACGAUUCUUCCGGGAAAAUUUUGUCUUGAAAACAAACUUUAUGUGUUCGACUCACUUAAUCGUUU